Molecule: long non-coding RNA, 981 nt
Filed under: Sander lucioperca (pikeperch)
Lineage: Eukaryota; Metazoa; Chordata; Actinopteri; Perciformes; Percidae
Description: lncRNA (ENSSLUG00000001134.1)
Source: RNAcentral
GCUGGGGAGUACACCUGCUUGGCGGGCAAUUCUGUCGGGAUCUCUCAUCACUCUGCAUGGUUGACCGUUUUUGAAGAUUCAGCAUCUGACCAAUCAGACAAUAAUCUGGUCCUGAUGAUUGUUGUGAUCUGUGCUGCGCUGCUGCUUGGCAUCAUCAUGUGGGUCCUCACAUGGAUCAUCAUUAAGAGGAACGUCCCCACCAAUGAUGUUUAUGAGGGCAUGUGUGGAACAAUCAGACGCUAAAGAUGUCAGCCUGCAAGCAAGCAACCUGAAACUCCACAAUCUCUCUGCACUAAGGCGCAAGUUAUGCAUGUGAAGCAAUGUUGCAACUCAGCAUGUUCUCUCUCAUCUCUUCAGGCCCUAUGUGUGUCUGGCUGAAAGACAGUUAAGACAAUAAAGUCUAUGAAUUGCUAAAAGCUACAACAUGGGAACAGCUGCACUGCCAAUGAACAGUUUGGCACAACUGGCACAAAAAAUACAUAACACAACCCUGAAAGUAUAGAGAAGUACAAAUGUCUUGUCUUUCAGUGGCAAGAAAUUAGACCUGGAUUGUACUGACAUGAGGCCCUGACAUGUCUUUUUAAUUUGCCAAUCCCUAUCUUAGCGAAUUGCAUAGUCAACUAAUAACAUGGGUGUGCAUCAUGAUUAUGAAAAUGAUUGUGCCAUUUAGUGCUGUCAAACUUAACGGGUUUAAUAAUUUGUGUUAGGUUAAUUUGAGACAUUAAAUGCGUUAAUAAUGAAUUGCGGGUUGACCGCAAUUUCACUUCGUUGUAUAUGAGAGGUUGUAGUGAGCUCACUUUUGCUGCUAGGAUGAAGACUAUGGUAUUGAAUUAAACGGGAAAACAUCAGGCAUGCAUUGGUACCACUCUAAACAUGCUAAAUAACUCACCAAAUUUAACCAAAAGUUUAACCAAAAACUGGUCUGUCUUCCAUCAGAGUGCAGUUUUUCCUUCCAAGGACUCUGAUGAAGAUGUAACCGAA